RNAcentral lists this small RNA (117 nucleotides) under Marmota monax (woodchuck). The record is from RNAcentral. Lineage: Eukaryota; Metazoa; Chordata; Mammalia; Rodentia; Sciuridae.
GCUGGGUUCAGUGGCGCAAGCCUAUAAUCCCAGCAGCUUGGGAGGCUGAGGCAGGAGGAUUGUGAGUUCAAAGCCAGCCUCAGCAAAAACAAGCAACUCAGUGAGACCCUGUCUCUA